Long non-coding RNA from Erpetoichthys calabaricus (reedfish), 183 nucleotides. RefSeq lists it as uncharacterized. The transcript has 2 exons. The record is from RefSeq and is a predicted model, not a curated record. NCBI's taxonomy places the organism in Eukaryota, Metazoa, Chordata, Cladistia, Polypteriformes, Polypteridae.
CUUUAGGGAUCUUCAAAACUUUAUGUUUAUGAUUUUGGAGAAUUAGGUGAACAGAAUUGCAGCAGACCAAUAAUUUGACUACCAAUUUUAACACAUUUGUUCAGACAGUUUUUGUUCUGAAUUCUAACAUUCCCAAAACACGUGACCCUGUCUGAUGUUAACAAUGGAUUUAAAAAAGACUUA